AUGGUGUCGAGGUUUUUUGUUUCUUUUUUUUCACAUCGGAUUCCUUGUAAGUUCAGGCAUCUCCAGGUAUUGAAGAGAGAGUUGUAAUAUAACAGCAUUGAAACCUGUUGUUGAAGGGCAAAGAUAUGAGCAACACAACCGUAAAUGGGGUCCCGAAUUCGAGCUAGUGCUUCAUAAGAUAUGGUGACAGCAGCAUCACUUCGAUACACAAUCGGUACCGACAGAUUCAGAAGACAAAUCUUUGUCUGAAAACUACAGAACCUGAUUGGUUCUCAAUGCUUUUUUGUUCUUGUUCUCUUCUGAGCCAAUUGCAACUCAAUCAAAUCACUGGUACAAAUAGUUUGGCAGUGUCGAUAUUCUUCUGGGGACAGUUAU
Durio zibethinus is the source of this 375-nucleotide non-coding RNA. NCBI's taxonomy places the organism in Eukaryota, Viridiplantae, Streptophyta, Magnoliopsida, Malvales, Malvaceae. The record is from RefSeq and is a predicted model, not a curated record.